AUUGAACGCUGGCGGCAGGCUUAACACAUGCAAGUCGAGCGGGGUGAUGGUGCUUGCACUAUCACUUAGCGGCGGACGGGUGAGUUAUGCUAGGAAUCUGCCUAUUAGUGGGGGACAACAUCUCGAAAGGGAUGCUAAUACCGCAUACGUCCUACGGGAGAAAGCAGGGGAUCACUUGUGACCUUGCGCUAAUAGAUGAGCCUAAGUCGGAUUAGCUAGUUGGUGGGGUAAAGGCCUACCAAGGCGACGAUCUGUAGCGGGUCUGAGAGGAUGAUCCGCCACACUGGGACUGAGACACGGCCCAGACUCCUACGGGAGGCAGCAGUGGGGAAUAUUGGACAAUGGGGGGAACCCUGAUCCAGCCAUGCCGCGUGUGUGAAGAAGGCCUUAUGGUUGUAAAGCACUUUAAGCGAGGAGGAGGCUCUUUUGGUUAAUACCCAGAAUGAGUGGACGUUACUCGCAGAAUAAGCACCGGCUAACUCCGUGCCAGCAGCCGCCGUAA
This 502-nucleotide ribosomal RNA is filed under the name uncultured bacterium. Its description in RNAcentral is "partial 16S ribosomal RNA". It matches the Rfam family "Bacterial small subunit ribosomal RNA", at positions 30 to 523 of the family's 1533-position model. The record is from RNAcentral.